AGCUCCAUUAGCGUAUAUUAAAGUUGUUGCAGUUAAAAAGCUCGUAGUUGGAUUUCGGUGCGGGUCGCGUCGGUCGGUCGCAAGACUUGUUUACUGGCCGGCCUGUUCUUUCUCUCCGAGACCUCGCGUUUCCUUUACUGGAUGCGCGUGCGAAUCGGAGGCGUUUACUUUGAAAAAAUUAGAGUGUUCAAGGCAGGCUCGUUUAGGCUUGAAUACAUGAGCAUGGAAUAAUGGAAUAUGACUUGGGUCACUAUUUCGUUGGUUCUAUUGACCGAAGUAAUGAUUAAGAGGGACAGUUGGGGGCAUCCGUAUUUCGUAGUCAGAGGUGAAAUUCUUGGAUCUGCGAAAGACGAACUAGUGCGAAAGCAUUUGCCAAGAAUGUUUUCAUUAAUCAAGAACG
Molecule: ribosomal RNA, 400 nt
Filed under: phytoplankton environmental sample
Lineage: Eukaryota
Description: partial small subunit ribosomal RNA
Rfam family: Eukaryotic small subunit ribosomal RNA
Source: RNAcentral